RNAcentral lists this ribosomal RNA (506 nucleotides) under uncultured bacterium. RNAcentral describes it as "partial 16S ribosomal RNA". It matches the Rfam family "Bacterial small subunit ribosomal RNA", at positions 29 to 523 of the family's 1533-position model. The record is from RNAcentral.
AGUGAACGCUGGCGGUAGGCCUAACACAUGCAAGUCGAACGGCAGCACAGGAGAGCUUGCUCUCUGGGUGGCGAGUGGCGGACGGGUGAGGAAUACAUCGGGAUCUACUCUGUCGUGGGGGAUAACGUAGGGAAACUUACGCUAAUACCGCAUACGACCUACGGGUGAAAGCAGGGGACCUUCGGGCCUUGCGCGAUUGAAUGAGCCGAUGUCGGAUUAGCUAGUUGGCGGGGUAAAGUCCCACCAAGGCGACGAUCCGUAGCUGGUCUGAGAGGAUGAUCAGCCACACUGGAACUGAGACACGGUCCAGACUCCUACGGGAGGCAGCAGUGGGGAAUAUUGGACAAUGGGCGCAAGCCUGAUCCGGCCAUACCGCGUGGGUGAAGAAGGCCUUCGGGUUGUAAAGCCCUUUUGUUGGGAAAGAAAUCCAGCUGGCUAAUACCCGGUUGGGAUGACGGUACCCAAAGAAUAAGCACCGGCUAACUUCGUGCCAGCAGCCGCGGUAA